ACUGAACUCCAGCCUGGGCGACAGAGCGAGAUUCCGUCUAAAAAAAUAAUAAUAAAUAAAUCUGGUGCUCCGGAUCUAGGAAAACGAGGAUGGAGGUUUUGUGUUGCCAGCCUGUAUCACCACCCUCAUGCUGAUAACAGAAAGGGUGACCUCCUUCCCUUCCCCCUUCCCCCACCACCAGGUCUCUGCCGACGUCCUAGCACUGCACCUUGCUUUCUCUCCUUGGCACAUCCCAGUGUCUAGAAGACAAUCCGUCUUGUUUCAGAUUCUGUCCCUGAAUAAUUUUGUUUUCAGUUUUCCUUUCAGGAGUGUUUGUCAGGGACGAUGCCUACCCCACACAGGGUGGACAGGGAGGAGUGUCAGGUGUCACUGGGUCUGCAUUUGGGGAUGUGAUCUUGAAUGAAUCACCUGUCUAACUCCUCUCAACCUCAGACCCCUCAACUACAGGAUGAGGCUGAGAAUCCCUGUCCUGCUUACCUCUCAGGAUUGUUUUAAAGGUAAAAUGAAACACUAGAUGGAAAAGCACCGUGCAAGCUGCAAGGCAAGUCAUACACACGGCAGGGAUCCAUAUGAUGCUUCGGCUGUGACCCCUUCUCCCCGCUGAUGGCAGGAUGCCCACUCCUGCUUGUAGGGGAAUUCUGCUGGUCUGUUUUUCACAGACAGGCCAAACAGCCCUAGUGCUUGCUCUCUCUUCAUUUUCACUGAUAAGACUUCCAGCUCAUGGAGAGUAAACCAAAGGAGACUUCCUAAGGGAAAACAUCUCUCCUUGCGAGAUUCUGGGCUUAGAAUCUUUAGUGGAAGUUUCCAGUAAGUGACUGUGGGGGAAACAAGCCUCCUCUAUCUGUGGUUUGCAGAAUUCUGAUUCUUCUAAUGGCUACUCCUGAAUGUUUCCAUUUCCUUAAACGCUAACUCACUGUGCAGUUAAUUUCAACUGCCUAUGCCUCAUAACAACUAAAAAAACUACACUUGUGACAUUUAAAAGCCAUCAUGGUAAGUAAUGAUGAUUGCAACAGUUUAUUUCAUAAAUAUGUGUUUGAAUCCAUUACAUGAAUGAAAAUUUGCAUUGCUAUGUCAUUUGAAGUGUGCUGGGAUGCUGUGUUUAUUGAAUAAAAAAGGCUUCCAAAAACAGUAUGGACAGCCAAUUGUGACACCCACAAUAUUAGAGAGACUGUGAUAUAGGCGAAGUGUUUGUCCUCAGAGGGCUGAUAUUCUGGUAGGUGAGUCAGGCCUAAAUGCUCAAGUGAGGUGCUUGACUCCAGUGCAAAGCAUCCAUCAUUUUACCACAGAGAAAGUCACACAUUUAACCAAACCCACCAUUGCAAGUCACACCAGCCUUGGAGUAGAGCCGGAAGCAAUGUAUGUUCCCAAAGCGUAUUACUCUGUGGUCCCGGUACCUGCAAUGUGAAGAAUUCUGCCCCCCUCAAAAUCCUUCUCCAACUCUUUCAGAGAUUUCCUGGGGCAGGGAGGGAUGUUCAUUGUACAUGUGUCCUCAGCCUCCUCCACUUCCUUUCCUGCCCUGACCCCUGGAGGGAGUUUUACAGGUUUUUGAGAAGCUGAUCAUCAGGGUCAGCAUGAUGGCCCAAACUGCUGGUCCCAAACACUGGUGACCCCACCUGGGUCUGCCCCAUUCUCAAUGUCCAGCAGGUAUUUCUGGGGCCUGGCUCCUCAGUGUCUGCUCUUGCACAGAAGGAACACAGGAAUCAAAGAGCCCAGGGAUUAUCUGAGUGUCUGAUGCUGUGCCAUCCCAGAAUCCCCCUUUUAUCUGACACUGGCUCUCUCUCCUGGAGCCUUUCUUGGGUGUAUCAGCCCACUAGUCCCCUCCAUGGAGUUCUUCCCAAGAGAUGCCUUAGCUGAUUAGAAAUCCUGGGAUGGAUGGGAAUCUUGGUGUGGGCCCAGCUCAGGGUUCUAAACCAGGGCUCCAUCAACCUCAAGGGAGAUGUGUGGUCUGCCUGCAAUCUGGUUGCUGUCAUAGAGUUAAGAAUUUCCUGCAGAAGUAUUGAGAAUGACCACUUCCCCCUGAAAUCCGGGCUGUGUCUUAAUUCUGCUCUUCCUGCAUUUGGUUGUAUAGAUAACUGGAUGCUGGAAUCAGAGAUUAAAGGAUCUGAUGUGGGGUGAAGGCCUCAGAAGGAGAUACUGCAGGUAAUCUAUACAGAUCAAUAUCUUAUCGUCUUGCUGGCAGGACCCUGAUUUUGCUUGGAUGGCACCUUCUGUCUCAUGGUUGUGUAUUCAGAAAAGGCUACCCUAUCCCCAGCUUUAAAAGAAAUUAGUAUCAACCAUAAAAUCAAUCACUGCUGUUGCCUGCAAUUUGCUUAGGAUAGGCCAUGUUGCCAUUCUGACCAAUGAGGAUGAAAGGAAAGGCUUUUUGUAGAAGAGAGAGUGGGUGGGCUUUGGAAAAAAAAAAUUUAUUUUGGAAAAUGAGACAUAGAGACCAUAUGGCUCUCCUUUGCUGCCUCUGAAUUUCAGUGAAUGAAGAUGUGAUGCCUGGAGUGACUGCAGCCAUCCUGAUACCACGAGGAGAGCCAACCCAGACACUAAGGAUGGCAGAAAGGAAAUAUGAAAGGAACGUGGGUCUUAGAAAAUGUCAUCGAACUGCUGAAAUAACCAACCCAGGACUGCCUGAACUCAGGGCUUGGGAUUUCAGCUACCCUUCAGAGACCAUCACCAACCCUGACGUUGCAAAAACAAUGAGAGCUCCCCACAAGAGCUGCCACGUGAGAGAAGCCUCUCCACCCCCUCUGUGUGUGACAACAGGUCACAAGCAGAUGGAAACCUGCCUUGCUUAGCCCAGUCUGGGGGAGUGGAAGGACUGACUGCUCCCAGCCUGGUUUGACAAUUACUGCCAAGGAGCCAAGGAUGUUCUGGCCACAAGAGUGUAAUUCAGAGUAAACAGCUGAGAACGUCAUUCAUUGUUAAGCCCUUUACCACCGCUCAUUUUCUCAAAAGAAAUUAUUCUGAUAAUAUUAAUUACUGCCAUUCAUGGAGUGUUUGUUUUAUACUAGAUGCUGAAUUGAGCACUUGACAGUCAUCUCAGAGACAUUUAAUCCUCUCUGAAGCACUAUGAGGUAGGCAUAUACUUCCUGUCUGCACCAGCUGCCUCCUUUGGAUAGACAGACAGACAGACAGAUAAUCUUGAAAACAAAGGUCAACCACUUUUGGAGUGUCAAGCACUGAGCCAAUCACAUUAGAUGGGCUGUUCUUCUUACCCCUGACAAUAAACAUCAUGGAAUCAGGACUAGUUUUAUCAUUAGCCUCACUACAGAGAUACAGAAACAGGCUUGGAGGUGCUGGGUGCCUUGCCAGGGUCACAGUGCUACUAUGCAGAGUGAGGAUUUGAACGCAGGCAGUUUGACCUCAGAGCCUGUGCACCUGCCAUGAGGCAGCUCUACAUGGCCCUGAGCUGGAAACUGGCACAUGGCAGGUACCCCAGGAUAUCUGUCUCAUGAAUGGACUCCUAAUUGGUGCAGCGUCUGCCAUUGCAGCUGAGAAGGGCCGCACAGGGAUCUCUGAACCAGCGCCUUUCAAAUCUGAUGGGCAUACUUACUGCCUGCCUGGGGAUUCUGCUGUAUCCUGCAUCCUGAGUUGGUGGGGCUGGGGUGUGUCAUAAGAUUCUGCUUUUCUAGUAAGUUCCCAGUGAGCCUGAUGCUGCUGUUUCCUGAAUGCAUGCAUCAGAGCAUUCAUUCAUUCUUCGGGAGUUGCCAGACCUUGACUUUGUAUCAUGCCAACACCUCAGAAGAUUUCGUGCCUCAGCCAUGUUUCUCUGGUCCCUUUAAAGCAGCAGCUGUCAACCAUGGGUGAUUUUUGUCCUCCAGAUGCAAUGGCAGUAUCCUGAAACAUGCUUGGGCGUCACCACUACGGGGAGGGGGCUACAGGCAUUAGGUGGGUAGAGGCCAGGAUGCCACUGAACAUCUUACAGUGCCUGGGACAGCCCCCCAAACAAUGAUCUGGCCCAGAAUGUCAAUAGCACUAAGGUCGAGGAACCCUGCAGGAAGUCUUUGCACUGGCAGUUCCCCCUCCCUAGGACACUUGUCCCCCAAGGGACUGCCUGGCUCCAUCCUUCCUUUCCUUUGGGUCUUUGCUCCAACUUCCCCUUCCAGGCACGGCCUUCCCCAGCCUCAUUUUAAAUUGUAACUCCCAUCUCUCACUGUCUCUCCCCUCCCUGCAUCAUUUUUCUCCAUGGAACAUAAUUCCACUGACAUAAUAUGCAUUUUCCUCAAUUAUUUGUUCAUUGCCUGUCUCUCUUAUGUGUUAGUUUCCCACUGCUCCUGUAAAAAAAUGUCCACAAACGUAGUGGCCCCCAAAUAACACAAAUGCAUUCUCGUACAGUCCUAGGAAUCAGAUGGCCUCAAAUCCAGGUGUCAGCAGAGGUUGUUCCUUCUGCAGCCCCAGGGGAGAGUGUUCCUCGCCUUCUCCAGCUUCUGAAGGCUGCCCACGUUCCUUGACUCAUGGCCUCCCUUUUAUUAGGUUGGUGCAAGAGUAAUUGGAGUUACUAACGGUAAAAAAUGCAAUUACUUUUGCACCAACCUAAUAUCUUCAAAGCCAGCCGCAAAUCUCUUCUGCACCUUCAAAUCUCUCUCUGACUCUGGCCUUUCUCUUAUAAGAACCCUUAUGAAGACAUUGGGCCCACCCAAAUAAUCCAGGACAAACUCCCCACCUCAAGGUCCUCAGCUUAAUCACAUCCACAGUGUUCUUUUUACCAUGUGGGGUAACAUAUUCACAGGUUUCAGCAAUUAGGACAUGAGCAUUUGGGGGACCAUUAUUCUGCCCACCACCCCCUCCUAGAAUGAAAGCACCACAGAGGCAGAGAGUUUUAUCUAACGUGUUGAUUUCUAAAUCCCCAGAGCCUAGCACGGGGCCUGGUACUUAGCAAUACUCAUGUAUUGGAUGAUGAAUAACCGUUGGUUUUCAGAAGAAAUAAAUAGAACACCAGAAGCAACAGAAGACACCCCUCCCACCUUGAAAAUAUGGCUCAGCUGUAAGAGUCAAACCUUAAUGUCGAUUUGCUGUGGAUGAGUAUCGGUAUAUAAGAAGGAAACUUAAAGAGACAGGCUACUGUCCUGGCCAGAGUUAGAGCUGGACAAAGCAGUCAGUGGAUCCACAUAAGGAUGGUGUCCACCCACAAGGCCCAGGCCAGCCAAGAAAGCGUGGAAAAUAGGAGACCCCAAGAGACGCUGGCAGCAGAGACCUCACUCUUUCAACAGCCAGUGUGGCCACCGAUGGCUGCCAUGGCUUUCCUACGUGGGGUGAGAAAGCCUGGACAGCAGACACAAAUAAAUGCCCCGUUGGCAGGUACAACUCUAACUGCAAAUUAACCCGCGGACAUUUUGGUUUGUGAGUUGGUGUGUUAGUUUCCCAGGGCUGCCAUGGCAACGUGCCACAAACAGAAGGGCUUUGGCAACAGAACUGUGUUGUCUCCUAGUUGUGGAGGCUAAAAGCCUGAGACUGAGGUGUCAGCAGGGCUGGUUCCUUCUGAGGCCACCAGGGCAUGUGUUCCAGGCCUCUCCCCCAGCUUCUGGUGGUUUGCUGGUAAUCUCUGGUUUUCCUGUUUGUGGCAGCAUCACCCCAACCCUCACAUGACAUUCUCCCUGUGUGCAUGUCUCUGUGUCCAAAUUUCACUUUUUGUGAGGACAUGAUCAUGUUGGAAUAGGGCUCACCUAGUGACCCCAUCUAAACUUGAUCAUCCUCAAAGACCCUAUUUCCAAAUAAGGUCUCAUUCACAGUACGAGGGGUUAAGACGUCAAUAUCUUUUGCAGGGGAUGCCAUUCAACCAUAACUCAGGUUUCUGUGAAUUGAGACAUCGUGAAUGUGAAUCUCCAAGUUUAAUUAGCUUCGAGACACCAGGAAACCACGAACUAUGGGGAAGUCCUGACAGAAUGCACUGAGGACAGCUGCCUGUUCACUGAUUACACCUGGCCCGGAUUAUGAUCAACACCAUUCGAGUCAGACAUUAAUCUACCGCUCCUACUGACUUGCUCCGGAAUGAACACAUUCUACAGAUCUUUGCUUCUCAAACUGUAAUACGCAAAGGACUCACCUGGGGCACUUUCUAAAAAACACCAAGUCUUGUUCAUUAGGCCCAGGUGCGGCCCAAACUUCUGUACUUUUAACAAGCUGCCUGGUGAUGCUAAUGCUGCUGGUCUGAGUAGCAAGGAACGAAGCCAUGGUUUCUGUAUUGCAGAAGACAGAUGCACUGCGUGAUAGGCUGCCCUCGCAUGUACCCUUGCUAAGCCCAGUGUAAAGGGUGAAUGCUACAGAAGGCAAAUGCAUGCCCAUACCGGGAAAGCACCUGGAAAAUGUGCAGCUCUGCCUUCACCAAGUGGAUAUUGCAAUGGCCUCUGCCAGCACAUGGGGCUGGAAGGGAAAUAGCCAUACCAGUUUGUUGCUAGUAUGGCCUCACAUAUUCAUGAGACUUGUUUUGUCAGAUUUCAAGGACGUCUCUCAGUAUCCAUGACUUUCCUAAUCUUUUGUUUUUGUUUUUGUUUUUUUAGAAUGUCAAGACACUUGGACCUUGGAAUAGCUGCAUGCAUGACCCGAGGCAAUGUGCAGUUUCAAGAGAUACUGGCAGUCAGUACCUACACCCGACAUCACAGCCCCUCCUGGUCCCUUCCACACCCACUGAGGCAGAAUCUCCCUGUGCCCCUGCACACUCACGUGUCUCCGCUUUCUCAGCCCCAUGGAUUGAGAUUGGAUCAUACCACUGACUCUUACCAAUGUAACUAGAGGGAAAAAGGACAGUUCCAAGAGAAUGUCCAUUCUUCUUUCUUCCAUUACCCUCUGGAGAGGGGAGUGGAGAGCAAUGGAUUCUAAGAUAACUGAAGGAGGCCGGGUGCAGUGACUCAUGCCUAUAAUCCCAGCACUUUGGGAGAUCAAGGUGGAUGGAUCACUUGAGGACACGGGUCAAUGCAUUGAGGGCUGGUUCUAAAUCCAAGAUGACCUCAUGUCAAGAUCCUCAACUUCAUUACACCUUCAAAGACAUUUUUUCCAAAGAAGGUCUCAUCCACAAGUUCUGGGUGGACAUACCUUUUAGGAGGUCACCACUCCACCUGCUACAGAAGCCAAUGAGAAGAGGCAAAACCCAAACAACUUAUUGAAAUAUUCACAGAGCUUUGUAAGCUGGGAGGACACCAUCUGGCUCAAGCCCAUUCUAUGUAUCUCUCAUUGUAAAUUACAGUCAUCCCUCAGUAUCUCCAGGGAGCUGGUCCCAGGACAACCCCUCAGAUACCAAAAUCUGCAGAGCCUUGUGGCUUAUAUAAAAUGUUGUAGUAUUUGCAGAUAACCUAUGCACGUCCUCCUGUAUUAUAAGGAAUUAUCUCUAGAUGCCUUGUAAUGCUGAGUACAACUGUUAUACUGUAUUUUUUAUUUGCAUUACUUUAAUUAUCAUAUUGUUAUUUUUAUUGCUUCUUAUUCCCAGAUAUUUUUGAUAUGCAGUUGGUUGAAUCCUCAGAUGUGGAGCAGGAGGAUAUAGAAGGCCGACUGUAUCCGGACAUGGUAUGGACAAGGUGUCAUCCUGUGAGCCUUUGGGAGAGGACCCUGUCUUAACAUGCACUCUGCCUGAGGAGCAGCACACUGCUGUGGUGACUGUCUCUCUCUCCCUCUUUUUUUUUUUUUUUUCUUGAA
Molecule: long non-coding RNA, 7614 nt
Organism: Cercocebus atys (sooty mangabey)
Lineage: Eukaryota; Metazoa; Chordata; Mammalia; Primates; Cercopithecidae
Exons: 3
Source: RefSeq, a predicted model, not a curated record